UACAGAGGGUGCGAGCGUUAAUCGGAAUUACUGGGCGUAAAGCGUGCGUAGACGGCUAUCUAAGUCGGGUGUGAAAGCCCCGGGCUCAACCUGGGAAUUGCAUUCGAGACUGAAUAGCUAGGGUACGGUAGAGGGAAGUGGAAUUUCCGGUGUAGCGGUGAAAUGCGUAGAUAUCGGAAGGAACAUCAGUGGCGAAAGCGACUUCCUGGACCAGUACCGACGUUCAGGCACGAAAGUGUGGGGAGCAAACAGG
This 253-nucleotide ribosomal RNA is filed under the name uncultured bacterium. Its description in RNAcentral is "partial 16S ribosomal RNA". It matches the Rfam family "Bacterial small subunit ribosomal RNA", at positions 524 to 776 of the family's 1533-position model. The record is from RNAcentral.